RNAcentral lists this unclassified non-coding RNA (194 nucleotides) under soil metagenome. Its description in RNAcentral is "partial contains 5.8S ribosomal RNA, internal transcribed spacer 2, and large subunit ribosomal RNA". The record is from RNAcentral.
AACGCACGAGACCUGCGGACCUGCGGAAGGAUCAUUACCGAGUUAUCCAACUCCCAACCCCUGUGAAUUAUACCUUUAAUUGUUGCUUCGGCGGGACUUCGCGCCCGCCGGGGACCCAAACCUUCUGAAUUUUUUAAUAAGUAUCUUCUGAGUGGUUAAAAAAAAUGAAUCAAAACUUUCAGCAACGGAUCUCU